CUACGGGGUGCACCAGUGGGGAAUUUUGCGCAAUGGGGGAAACCCUGACGCAGCAAUACCGCGUGAGUGAAGAAGGCCUUUGGGUCGUAAAGCUCUUUUCUUGGGGAAGAUAGUGACGGUACCCAAGGAAUAAGCACCGGCUAACUCCGUGCCAGCAGCCGCGGUAAUACGGAGGGUGCAAGCGUUGUUCGGAUUUACUGGGCGUAAAGGGCACGUAGGCGGCACAGCAAGUUAAGGGUGAAAUCCCGGGGCUCAACUCCGGAACUGCUCUUAAAACUGCUGAGCUAGAGAUAGUCAGAGGCGGGUGGAAUUCCAGGUGUAGAGGUGAAAUUCGUAGAUAUCUGGAGGAACACCGGUGGCGAAGGCGGCCCGCUGGGGCUAUUCUGAUGCUAAGGUGCGAAAGCGUGGGGAGCAAACGGGAUUAGAUACCCGAGUAGUC
RNAcentral lists this ribosomal RNA (439 nucleotides) under uncultured bacterium. RNAcentral's name for it is "partial 16S ribosomal RNA". It matches the Rfam family "Bacterial small subunit ribosomal RNA", at positions 339 to 795 of the family's 1533-position model. The record is from RNAcentral.